UCUAUCUUUUAAAAAUUUAAAUAUUUUAGUACGAAAGGAUCAAGUAUUUUAAUUAAAUUAUUAAAAUAUUUAUUUGAAUUUUAUUAAAAAUAAUUGUUAAAAAUAUUAAAAAUUGAAUAGUUAUAAUAAAAAUUUUUAAGUUAAAGUUAUUUAUUUAAUUUAAAUUAAGAAUUAAAA
This 177-nucleotide ribosomal RNA is filed under the name Dyscia malatyana. Its description in RNAcentral is "partial 16S ribosomal RNA". Lineage: Eukaryota; Metazoa; Arthropoda; Insecta; Lepidoptera; Geometridae. The record is from RNAcentral.